GUGGGCGUAGCUCAGUUGGUUAGAGCGUCUGGUUGUGGCCCAGAAGGUCGUGGGUUCAAUUCCCAUCGCUCACCCACCA
This 79-nucleotide transfer RNA is filed under the name Ignavibacteriota bacterium. RNAcentral's name for it is "Ignavibacteriae bacterium tRNA-His". It matches the Rfam family "tRNA". From Rfam's summary of the family: Transfer RNA (tRNA) molecules are approximately 80 nucleotides in length. Their secondary structure includes four short double-helical elements and three loops (D, anti-codon, and T loops). Further hydrogen bonds mediate the characteristic L-shaped molecular structure. tRNAs have two regions of fundamental functional importance: the anti-codon, which is responsible for specific mRNA codon recognition, and the 3' end, to which the tRNAs corresponding amino acid is attached (by aminoacyl-tRNA synthetases). tRNAs cope with the degeneracy of the genetic code in two manners: having more than one tRNA (with a specific anti-codon) for a particular amino acid; and 'wobble' base-pairing, i.e. permitting non-standard base-pairing at the 3rd anti-codon position. The record is from RNAcentral. Lineage: Bacteria; Pseudomonadati; Ignavibacteriota.